AUUGAACGCUGGCGGCAGGCCUAAUACAUGCAAGUCGAGCGGACGAAGGGAGCUUUCUCUUGUCUUCCGCUGCGGACGGGCGGGUAAUGCCCAGGAAGCUGCCUGGCAUUUGGGAAUAACGUCCGGAAACGGGCGCUAAUAUCGCACACGUCCAUAUGGAGAACGUGGGGGAUCUUCAGUCCUCACGCUAUUUGAUGAGCCUGGGUCGUAUUAGCUAGUUGGUUAGGUAAAGGCCUACCAAGGCGACGAUCCGUAACUGGUCUGAGAGGAUGAUCAGUCACACUGGAACUGAGACACGGUCCAGACUCCUACGGGAGGCAGCAGUAGGGAAUAUUGGGCAAUGGGCGAAAGCCUGAUCGAGCAAUGCCGCGUGUGUGAAGAAGGUCUUCGGAUUGUAAAGCACUGUAAGUUGGGAGGAAGAACAGUGAAUUAAUACCUGGCUGUUUUGACGUUACCAAAAGAGUAAGCACCGGCUAACUUCGUG
This 484-nucleotide ribosomal RNA is filed under the name uncultured bacterium. RNAcentral describes it as "partial 16S ribosomal RNA". It matches the Rfam family "Bacterial small subunit ribosomal RNA", at positions 30 to 507 of the family's 1533-position model. The record is from RNAcentral.